Molecule: unclassified non-coding RNA, 253 nt
Filed under: uncultured delta proteobacterium
Lineage: Bacteria; Deltaproteobacteria
Description: contains 16S-23S intergenic spacer region
Rfam family: Bacterial small subunit ribosomal RNA
Source: RNAcentral
UACGGAGGGUGCAAGCGUUGUUCGGAAUUAUUGGGCGUAAAGAGCGUGUAGGCGGUUGAACAAGUCAGAUGUGAAAUCCCUCGGCUCAACCGAGGAAGUGCAUUUGAAACUGUUCAGCUUGAGUACGGGAGAGGAGAGCGGAAUUCCCGGUGUAGAGGUGAAAUUCGUAGAUAUCGGGAGGAACACCGGUGGCGAAGGCGGUUCUCUGGCCCGAUACUGACGCUGAGACGCGAAAGCGUGGGGAGCAAACAGG